Molecule: ribosomal RNA, 754 nt
Filed under: uncultured archaeon
Lineage: Archaea
Description: bacterial SSU rRNA
Rfam family: Archaeal small subunit ribosomal RNA
Source: RNAcentral
AGAGGCUACUGCUAUCGGGGUUCGAUUAAGCCAUGCGAGUUAAAUGUUCUUCGUGAACAUAGCGAACUGCUCAGUAACACGUGGAUAACCUACCCUUAGGACCGGAAUAACCCCGGGAAACUGGGGAUAAUACCGGAUAAGCCAUAGACGCUGGAAUGCCCUAUGGUUCAAAGCUCCGGCGCCUAAGGAUGGAUCUGCGGUCUAUCAGGUUGUAGUGGGUGUAACGUACCUACUAGCCUACGACGGGUACGGGUUGUGAGAGCAAGAGCCCGGAGAUGGAUUCUGAGACAUGAAUCCAGGCCCUACGGGGCGCAGCAGGCGCGAAAACUUUACAAUGCGGGAAACCGCGAUAAGGGGACACUGAGUGCCAGCAUAUUACGUUGGCUGUCCACAUGUAUAAAAACCAUGUGUUAGCAAGGGCCGGGCAAGACCGGUGCCAGCCGCCGCGGUAACACCGGCGGCCCGAGUGGUGAUCACUUUUAUUGGGUCUAAAGGGUCCGUAGCCGGUUUGAUCAGUCCUCCGGGGAAUCUGACAGCUCAACUGUUAGGCUUCCGGGGGAUACUGUCAGACUUGGGACCGGGAGAGGUAAGAGGUACUACAGGGGUAGGAGUGAAAUCUUGUAAUCCCUGUGGGACCACCAGUGGCGAAGGCGUCUUACCAGAACGGGUCCGACGGUGAGGGACGAAAGCUGGGGGCACGAACCGGAUUAGAUACCCGGGUAGUCCCAGCCGUAAACGAUGCUCGCUAGGUGUC